GAUGAAGAACGCAGCAAAAUGCGAUAAGUAAUGUGAAUUGCAGAAUUCAGUGAAUCAUCGAAUCUUUGAACGCACAUUGCGCCCGCUGGUAUUCCGGCGGGCAUGCCUGUUCGAGCGUCAUUUCAACCCUCAAGCCCCCGGGUUUGGUGUUGGGGAUCGGCUCUGCCCUUCUGGUCGGUGCCGCCCCCGAAAUACAUUGGCGGUCUCGCUGCAGCCUCCAUUGCGUAGUAGCUAACACCUCGCAACUGGAACGCGGCGCGGCCAUGCCGUAAAACCCCAACUUCUGAAUGUUGACCUCGGAUCAGGUAGGAAUACCCGCUGAACUUAAGCAUAUCAAUAAGCGGAGGA
RNAcentral lists this unclassified non-coding RNA (348 nucleotides) under soil metagenome. RNAcentral describes it as "partial contains 5.8S ribosomal RNA, internal transcribed spacer 2, and large subunit ribosomal RNA". The stretch from base 1 to 120 matches the Rfam family "5.8S ribosomal RNA", at positions 35 to 154 of the family's 154-position model. The record is from RNAcentral.